This 500-nucleotide ribosomal RNA is filed under the name uncultured Oscillibacter sp. Its description in RNAcentral is "partial 16S ribosomal RNA". Lineage: Bacteria; Bacillati; Bacillota; Clostridia; Eubacteriales; Oscillospiraceae. The record is from RNAcentral.
CACGUAGUUAGCCGUGGCUUAUUCAAAGGGUACCGUCUUCCGCUCUUCCCCCUUAAAAGAAGUUUACAACCCGAAAGCCUUCUUCCUUCACGCGGCGUUGCUGGGUCAGACUUGCGUCCAUUGCCCAAUAUUCCCCACUGCUGCCUCCCGUAGGAGUCUGGGCCGUAUCUCAGUCCCAAUGUGGCCGGCCAACCUCUCAGUCCGGCUACUGAUCGUCGCCUUGGUGGCCGUUACCUCACCAACUAGCUAAUCAGACGCGAGGCCAUCUUCCAGCGAUAAAUCUUUGACGUCGGAGUCAUGCGGCUCCAACGCAUCAUGCGGUAUUAGCAGUCGUUUCCAACUGUUGUCCCCCCCUGGAAGGCAGGUUCCUCACGCGUUACUCACCAGUCCGCCACUAAGCAUUCCCAUCCGUUGUCCGAAAACUCCUUCAGGGUGCUCCGUUCGACUUGCAUGUGUUAAGCACGCCGCCAGCGUUCGUCCUGAGCCAGGAUCGAACUACU